GAUGAACGCUAGCUACAGGCUUAACACAUGCAAGUCGAGGGGAAACGGGAGGAUAGCUUGCUAUCUUCGCCGUCGACCGGCGCACGGGUGAGUAACGCGUAUCCGACCUGCCAUCCAACGGAGGAUAGCCUUUCGAAAGAAAGGAUAAUACUCCAUGACCUCCUCAGAGGACAUCUGACGAGGAGCAAAGAUUUAUCGCUGGUUGAUGGGGAUGCGUCUGAUUAGGCAGUUGGCGGGGUAACGGCCCACCAAACCGACGAUCAGUAGGGGUUCUGAGAGGAAGGUCCCCCACAUUGGAACUGAGACACGGUCCAAACUCCUACGGGAGGCAACAGUGAGGAAUAUUGGUCAAUGGACGUAAGUCUGAACCAGCCAAGUAGCGUGCAGGAUGACGGCCCUAUGGGUUGUAAACUGCUUUUAUGCGGGGGUAAAGUGAGUGACGUGUCAUUCAUUGCAAGUACCGCAAGAAUAAGGACCGGCUAAUUCCGUGCCAGCAGCCGCGGUAA
This 506-nucleotide ribosomal RNA is filed under the name uncultured bacterium. RNAcentral describes it as "partial 16S ribosomal RNA". It matches the Rfam family "Bacterial small subunit ribosomal RNA", at positions 28 to 523 of the family's 1533-position model. The record is from RNAcentral.